UAUCUCUGUAGAGUCUGCAUAUCAAUAAGCGGAGGAAAAGAAACUAACAAGGAUUCCCUUAGUAACGGCGAGUGAAGCGGGAAGAGCUCAAAUUUGAAAUCUUCAAGGUUCUACCUUGACGAAUUGUAGUUUAAAGAAGUGUUUUCUGUUAGAUGAGUAGCAAAAGUUCCUUGGAAUGGGACAUCAUAGAGGGUGAGAAUCCCGUAUUUGGUUAUUCAUUCUAGCUUUGUGAUACACUUUCAAAGAGUCGGAUUGUUUGGGAAUGCAGUCCAAAAUGGGUGGUAAAUUUCAUCUAAAGCUAAAUAUUGGCGAGAGACCGAUAGCGAACAAGUACCGUGAGGGAAAGAUGAAAAGAACUUUGAAAAGAGAGUUAAACAGUACGUGAAAUUGUCCAAAAGGGAAGCGUUUGACACCAGUGUUGUUUUUCCGAAAAUCAAUUACGAAUGGCUUGAUUUUGUGUUGUAUUGACCUUAUCAGCUUUCUGCACUUUUUUCGAGUCUUUCUUAAUGCACUUUUCGGUUAACAAGUCAACAUCAAUUUCUUUUGUUGUAAAAGAGUAUUCGGAAGGUAGCUUUCUUUUCGGAGAAAGUGUUUAUAGCCCUAUACUUCUACAAUCGGAGAGAUUGAGGUCUGCAGCGUAGAUCCUUCGGGGUUAGAUACAUUUGUGCUAAGUUGUAGCUUUUCAUAGACAACUUGUUGACUAUGUUUAGUCAUGCGGCUUACUCGCUUAUGCUAUUUUACCUACGCUUAGGAUGUUGACUGAUAUGUAGUCGUA
This 775-nucleotide ribosomal RNA is filed under the name uncultured Neocallimastigales. Its description in RNAcentral is "partial large subunit ribosomal RNA". It matches the Rfam family "Eukaryotic large subunit ribosomal RNA", at positions 24 to 644 of the family's 3401-position model. Lineage: Eukaryota; Fungi; Neocallimastigomycota; Neocallimastigomycetes; Neocallimastigales. The record is from RNAcentral.